UACGUAGGGGGCUAGCGUUGUCCGGAAUCAUUGGGCGUAAAGCGCGCGUAGGCGGCCCGGUAAGUCCGCUGUGAAAGUCGGGGGCUCAACCCUCGAAUGCCGGUGGAUACUGUCGGGCUAGAGUGCGGAAGAGGCGAGUGGAAUUCCUGGUGUAGCGGUGAAAUGCGCAGAUAUCAGGAGGAACACCGGUGGCGAAGGCGACCACCUGGACAGACACUGACGCUGAGGCGCGAAAGCGUGGGGAGCAAACAGG
RNAcentral lists this ribosomal RNA (253 nucleotides) under uncultured bacterium. Its description in RNAcentral is "partial 16S ribosomal RNA". It matches the Rfam family "Bacterial small subunit ribosomal RNA", at positions 524 to 776 of the family's 1533-position model. The record is from RNAcentral.